This 460-nucleotide ribosomal RNA is filed under the name uncultured bacterium. Its description in RNAcentral is "partial 16S ribosomal RNA". It matches the Rfam family "Bacterial small subunit ribosomal RNA", at positions 338 to 795 of the family's 1533-position model. The record is from RNAcentral.
CCUACGGGUGGCAGCAGUGAGGAAUAUUGGUCAAUGGACGAGAGUCUGAACCAGCCAAGCAGCGUGAAGGAUGACUGCCCUAGGGGUUGUAAACUUCUUUUAUAUGGGAAUAAAAUGUUACACGUGUGGGAUUUUGUAUGUACCAUAUUAAUAAGGAUCGGCUAACCCCGUGCCAGCAGCAGCGGUAAUACGGGGGAUACGAGCGUUGUCCGGAUUUAUUGGGUGUAAAGGGAGCGGAGGUGGAUUGUUAAGUCCGUUGUGAAAGUUUGCGGCUCAACCGUAAAAUUGCAGUUGAAACUGGCAGUCUUGAGUACAGUAGAGGUGGGCGGAAUUCGUGGUGUAGCGGUGAAAUGCUUAGAUAUCACGAAGAACUCCGAUUGCGAAGGCAGCUCACUGGACUGCAACUGACACUGAGGCUCGAAAGUGUGGGUAUCUAACAGGAUUAGAUACCCCUGUAGUC